RNAcentral lists this ribosomal RNA (1466 nucleotides) under metagenome. RNAcentral describes it as "bacterial SSU rRNA". It matches the Rfam family "Bacterial small subunit ribosomal RNA". The record is from RNAcentral.
AGAGUUUGAUCCUGGCUCAGGAUCAACGCUGGCGGCGUGCCUAAUACAUGUAAGUCGAACGAAGGGUUUUGUAGUAAUACGAGAUCCUUAGUGGCGAAUGGGUGAGUAACGCGUUGGUGACCUACCCCGAAGAGGGGGAUAACAGCUCGAAAGGGCUGCUAAUACCCCAUGUGGUCACGAGGGUUAGAGACCUUGUGACUAAAGAUGCAAAUCGCUUUGGGCGGGGCCUGCGUCCCAUCAGCUUGUUGGUAGGGUAAUGGCCUACCAAGGCUACGACGGGUAGGGGGCCUGAGAGGUGGCCCCCCACACUGGCACUGAAACACGGGCCAGACACCUACGGGUGGCAGCAGUAGGGAAUAUUAGACAAUGGGCGAAAGCCUGAUCUAGCAACGCCGCGUGCACGAUGAAGGCCUUCGGGUCGUAAAGUGCUUUUUGAGGAGAUGAGGAAGGACAGUAUCCUCAGAAUAAGGAUCGGCUAACUACGUGCCAGCAGCCGCGGUAACACGUAGGAUCCGAGCGUUAUCCGAAUUUACUGGGCGUAAAGCGCUUGCAGGCGGUUUGGUAAGUUGGAUGUGAAAGCUCCUGGCUCAACUAGGAGAGGUCGUUCAAAACUACCAGACUGGAGGGUGGUAGAGGGAGGUGGAAUUCCCGGUGUAGUAGUGAAAUGCGUAGAUAUCGGGAGGAACACCAGAGGCGAAGGCGGCCUCCUGGACCAUACCUGACGCUAAGAAGCGAAAGCUAGGGGAGCGAAUGGGAUUAGAAACCCCAGUAGUCCUAGCUGUAAACGAUGUGAACUGGGUGUCGGUGGGGUAAAAGCCAUCGGUGCCGAAGCUAACGCGAUAAGUUCACCGCCUGGGGACUACGGCCGCAAGGUUAAAACUCAAAGGAAUUGACGGGGGCCCGCACAAGCAGCGGAGCGUGUGGUUUAAUUCGUUGCUACGCGAAGAACCUUACCCGGGUUUGACAUAUAGGUAGUAGGGAGCAGAGAUGUGACCGACCCUUCGGGGAGCCUAUACAGGUGCUGCAUGGCUGUCGUCAGCUCGUGCCGUGAGGUGUCCGGUUAAGUCCGGUAACGAGCGCAACCCUCGCCGUAUGUUAUAAGUGUCAUACGGGACCGCUGGUAUCAAGCCGGAGGAAGGUGGGGAUGACGUCAAGUCAGCAUGGCCUUUAUAUCCGGGGCUACACACACGCUACAAUGGGCAGUACAAUGGGUCGCAAAACCGCGAGGUGGAGCCAAUCCUCAAAACUGUCCUCAGUUCAGAUUGCAGGCUGCAACUCGCCUGCAUGAAGUCGGAGUUGCUAGUAAACGCAGGACAGCUAUACUGCGUCGAAUACGUUCCCGGGCCUUGUACACACCGCCCGUCACGUCAUGGGAGCUGGCAACACCUGAAGCCGGUAUCCUAACCCGUAAGGGAGGGAGCUGUCGAAGGUGGGGCUGGUGACUGGGACGAAGUCGUAACAAGGUA